GACGAACGCUGGCGGCGUGCUUAACACAUGCAAGUCGAACGGAAAGGCCCUGCUUUUGUGGGGUGCUCGAGUGGCGAACGGGUGAGUAACACGUGAGUAGCCUGCCCUUGACUUUGGGAUAACUUCAGGAAACUGGGGCUAAUACCGGAUAGGAGCUCCUGCUGCAUGGUGGGGGUUGGAAAGUUUCGGCGGUUGGGGAUGGACUCGCGGCUUAUCAGCUUGUUGGUGGGGUAGUGGCUUACCAAGGCUUUGACGGGUAGCCGGCCUGAGAGGGUGACCGGCCACAUUGGGACUGAGAUACGGCCCAGACUCCUACGGGAGGCAGCAGUGGGGAAUAUUGCACAGUGGGCGGAAGCCUGAUGCAGCAACGCCGCGUGCGGGAUGACGGCCUUCGGGUUGUAAACCGCUUUCGCCUGUGACGAAGCGUGAGUGACGGUAAUGGGUAAAGAAGCACCGGCUAACUACGUG
This 468-nucleotide ribosomal RNA is filed under the name uncultured bacterium. RNAcentral's name for it is "partial 16S ribosomal RNA". It matches the Rfam family "Bacterial small subunit ribosomal RNA", at positions 28 to 507 of the family's 1533-position model. The record is from RNAcentral.